AUGGAGGGGAUGCUGAAUGAUUUGAAGUUGUCAGAGGCAGAAAAGAAAAGUGUCAAAAUUGGAAGAAGGCAGAUCUGCUCCUCAACUGUAAGCAAACUACAGACUAUAGGUAAUAUUUUCUCAGAGAGGCCAGCGAAAGAAGAGUUUGUGGGAAGAACAUUAGGAAAUUUGUGGUGCCCUUUUGCUGAACUUGAUUGCAAAGAUCUUGGUAGAAAUCGUUUUCUGUUUACCUUUCCUGAUGAGACUAGCAAGAAGAAAGCUUUGGAUGGUGGACCGUGGAGGUUUAAUAAAGAUUUGAUAGUGAUGGAAAAAUUUGUGGCCAGUAAAACAAUAGAUGAAUAUGAGUUUAAAUGGAUCCCUAUAUGGGUCAGAGCUUAUGGCAUCCCCACGGGGAUGAUGAGUUCAGAAACGGGAGAUUUAGUCGGAGAGAGAAUAGGAGAAGUACUUGAUAUUGAUGUGGAUUGGGACGGAACAGCGAUGGGCCAGUUUAUGAGAAUCAAAGUACGAAUGGAUAUUACAAUGCCAAUAACAAGAUUCAUCACUUUGGAAAUUGAAUAUGACGAGGAAGAACAGGAGGCCAUGUGUGAGGAGUUGAUGAGUAAUGCAGAGAACAGAGAGAAGAAAAAGUGGAGAAGGUUGUUGAUUUCAAAUAUGAGUAUCUGCCUGAUUUUUGCUAUUGUUGCGGCAUCAUUGGGCACACAGAAAAAUCAUGCCUAUCUAGAGCCAGAAGAGAGGGAGCUAGACAGUAUGGGCCGGAUCUGCGGCCAAUUAUCUAUAAAGGAGGCUCUAGUGAAGAGAGGAGUAGAAGCUCAAGUGAUAAGGAAAAUUUCUGGUUAA
Molecule: ribosomal RNA, 837 nt
Filed under: Triticum aestivum (bread wheat)
Lineage: Eukaryota; Viridiplantae; Streptophyta; Magnoliopsida; Poales; Poaceae
Description: partial small subunit ribosomal RNA
Source: RNAcentral